This 517-nucleotide ribosomal RNA is filed under the name uncultured archaeon. RNAcentral's name for it is "partial 16S ribosomal RNA". It matches the Rfam family "Archaeal small subunit ribosomal RNA", at positions 824 to 1321 of the family's 1478-position model. The record is from RNAcentral.
CCGCCNUGGGGAGUNCGGGUNGGCAAGGGUUGAAACUUAAAAGGAAUUGGCGGGGGGAGCANUGCAACCGGGAGGGAGCNUGCGGUUUAAUUGGAUUUCAACGCCGGAAAGCUUACCGGGGGAGACUGCCGGAUGUGAGCCAGGCUGAAGACCUUGCNCCGAAUAAUAGGCAGAGANGGUGGUGCAUGGCCGUCGUCAGCUCGUACCGUAAGGCGUUCUGUUAAGUCAGGUAACGAGCGAGACCCCCGCCCUUAGUUGCCACCUGUCCCUCCGGGGACAGAGCACACUAAGGGGACUGCCGGCGAUAAGCUGGAGGAAGGAGGGGGCAACGGUAGGUCAGUAUGCCCUGAAUCCCCCGGNCUACACGCACGCUACAAAGGCUGGGACAAUGGGUUGCGACCCCGAAAGGGGGAGCUAAUCCCUAAACCCAGUCGUNNGUUCGGAUCGAUGGGUUGCAACUCACCCUCNNNNNACGGUGGAUUUCCGUAGUAAUCNNNNCGUCAACAUCCCGCGGUAA